This 490-nucleotide ribosomal RNA is filed under the name uncultured bacterium. RNAcentral describes it as "partial 16S ribosomal RNA". It matches the Rfam family "Bacterial small subunit ribosomal RNA", at positions 29 to 507 of the family's 1533-position model. The record is from RNAcentral.
AGUGAACGCUGGCGGCAGGCCUAACACAUGCAAGUCGAACGGCAGCACAAGAGAGCUUGCUCUCUGGGUGGCGAGUGGCGGACGGGUGAGGAAUGCAUCGGAAUCUGCCCAUUUGUGGGGGAUAACCUCGGGAAACCGGGACUAAUACCGCAUACGACCUACGGGUGAAAGCAGGGGAUCUUCGGACCUUGCGCAGAUGGAUGAGCCGAUGCCGGAUUAGCUAGUUGGAGGGGUAAAGGCCCACCAAGGCGACGAUCCGUAGCUGGUCUGAGAGGAUGAUCAGCCACACUGGGACUGAGACACGGCCCAGACUCCUACGGGAGGCAGCAGUGGGGAAUAUUGGACAAUGGGCGCAAGCCUGAUCCAGCCAUGCCGCGUGUGUGAAGAAGGCCUUCGGGUUGUAAAGCACUUUUGUUGGGAAAGAAAAGCGGCCGGUUAAUACCCGGUUGUCAUGACGGUACCCAAAGAAUAAGCACCGGCUAACUUCGUG